UACAGAGGGGGCAAGCGUUGUUCGGAAUUACUGGGCGUAAAGGGCGCGUAGGCGGUUCGUUAAGUCCUGUGUGAAAUCCCCCGGCUCAACUGGGGAACUGCACAGGAAACUAGCGGGCUUGAGUUCGGGAGAGGGAAGCGGAAUUCCGGGUGUAGCGGUGAAAUGCGUAGAUAUCUGGAGGAACACCGGUGGCGAAGGCGGCAUCCUGGACCGGUAUUGACGCUGAGGCGCGAAAGCCAGGGGAGCAAACGGG
Molecule: ribosomal RNA, 253 nt
Filed under: uncultured bacterium
Lineage: Bacteria
Description: partial 16S ribosomal RNA
Rfam family: Bacterial small subunit ribosomal RNA
Source: RNAcentral